Molecule: small nuclear RNA, 160 nt
Organism: Erinaceus europaeus (western European hedgehog)
Lineage: Eukaryota; Metazoa; Chordata; Mammalia; Eulipotyphla; Erinaceidae
Gene: U2
Rfam family: U2 spliceosomal RNA
About the family: U2 is a small nuclear RNA (snRNA) component of the spliceosome (involved in pre-mRNA splicing). Complementary binding between U2 snRNA (in an area lying towards the 5' end but 3' to hairpin I) and the branchpoint sequence (BPS) of the intron results the bulging out of an unpaired adenosine, on the BPS, which initiates a nucleophilic attack at the intronic 5' splice site, thus starting the first of two transesterification reactions that mediate splicing.
Source: Ensembl
AUUGUUUUCAUGACAUUGACUUAAAUCUUAUGAACAGCAGCUUUUUAAAGGGAGUUAUAUUAAAUGGAUUUUUGGAGCAGGGAGUCGGAAUAGGGGCUUGCUCCGUCUGCUCCACGCAUCGACCUGGUAUUGCAGUACUUCCAGGAACGGUGCACCCCCA